UUGGAGGGCAAGUCUGGUGCCAGCAGCCGCGGUAAUUCCAGCUCCAAUAGCGUAUAUUAAAGUUGUUGCAGUUAAAAAGCUCGUGGUUGAAUUUCGGGAUUGACACAUCGGUCGUGCCUUAAGGGGUAUGAACUGGUGUAGUCAAUUUCUCACCUUCUGGAGAACCACGAUGCCCUUAAUUGGGUGUCGCGGGGAACUAGGACCUUUACUUUGAAAAAAUUAGAGUGUUUAAAGCAGGCAUUUUGCUUGAAUACAUUAGCAUGGAAUAAUGAAAUAGGACGGCAUGAUUCUAUUUUGUUGGUUUCUAGGAUCACCGUAAUGAUUAAUAGGGAUAGUUGGGGGCAUUAGUAUUCAAUUGUCAGGGGUGAAAUUCUUGGAUUUAUUGAAGACUAACUACUGCGAAAGCAUUUGCCAAGGAUGUUUUCAUUAAUCAAGAACGAAAGUUAGGGGAUCGAAGACGAUCAGAUACCGUCGUAGUCUUAACCAUAAACUAUGCCGACUAGGAAUCAGACGAUGUUAAUUUUUUAAUGACUCGUUUGGCACCUUACGGGAAACCAAAGUGUUUGGGUUC
This 571-nucleotide ribosomal RNA is filed under the name uncultured Glomeromycotina. Its description in RNAcentral is "SSU rRNA". It matches the Rfam family "Eukaryotic small subunit ribosomal RNA", at positions 548 to 1114 of the family's 1831-position model. The record is from RNAcentral. Lineage: Eukaryota; Fungi; Glomeromycota.